CUAAUGGUGAUGCGUUCUUUUUGUCCUCUGCUAAGCUCGAUGGGACGCCGACCUGUGAGAAGCUCGACGAGCAGUACACCAAAAGAGUAGACGUCACUUUUCU
Molecule: small RNA, 103 nt
Filed under: Arabidopsis thaliana (thale cress)
Lineage: Eukaryota; Viridiplantae; Streptophyta; Magnoliopsida; Brassicales; Brassicaceae
Description: ATSL189420
Source: RNAcentral